RNAcentral lists this ribosomal RNA (246 nucleotides) under uncultured bacterium. RNAcentral describes it as "partial 16S ribosomal RNA". It matches the Rfam family "Bacterial small subunit ribosomal RNA", at positions 15 to 253 of the family's 1533-position model. The record is from RNAcentral.
GAUCAUGGCUCAGGAUGAACGCUGGCGGCGUGCUUAACACAUGCAAGUCGAACGGACUUUACAUGAAGCCUAGCGAUUGUAAAGUUAGUGGCGGACGGGUUGAGUAACGCGUGAAUAACCUGCCCUGUACCGGGGGACAACAGUUGGAAACGACUGCUAAUACCGCAUAAGCGCACGGUUCCGCAUGGAACAGUGUGAAAAACUCCGGUGGUACAGGAUGGAUUCGCGUCUGAUUAGCCAGUUGGG